RNAcentral lists this small nucleolar RNA (103 nucleotides) under Ochotona princeps (American pika). RNAcentral's name for it is "Small nucleolar RNA U3 (ENSOPRG00000023270.1)". It matches the Rfam family "Small nucleolar RNA U3", at positions 1 to 99 of the family's 219-position model. Rfam says of the family: Small nucleolar RNAs (snoRNAs) are involved in the processing and modification of rRNA in the nucleolus. There are two main classes of snoRNAs: the box C/D class, and the box H/ACA class. Lineage: Eukaryota; Metazoa; Chordata; Mammalia; Lagomorpha; Ochotonidae. The record is from RNAcentral.
AAGACCAUGCUUUCAGGGAUCAUUUCUAUAGCCUGCGACUAGAGAAGUUUCUCUGAUUGUGUAGAGCACUGAAAAACAAACAACAAAAAUCAAAUGCAAUAGU